CCCUUAGACGUUCUGGGCCGCACGCGCGCUACACUGACCAGUGCAACAAGCAUCCGUCCUUGGCCGACAGGCUCGGGCAAUCUUUGAACGCUGGUCGUGAUGGGGAUAGACUUUUGCAAUUUUUGGUCUUCAACGAGGAAUUCCUAGUAAACGCAGAUCAUCAAUCUGCAUUGAUUACGUCCCUGCCCUUUGUACACACCGCCCGUCGCACCUACCGAUUGGAUGGUCCGGUGAAGCCUCGGGAUUGUGGUUCUUGCCGCUUUAUUGUGGCGUGACCGCGAGAACUUGUCUAAACCUUAUCAUCUAGAGGAAGGUGAAGUCGUAACA
This 327-nucleotide ribosomal RNA is filed under the name uncultured eukaryote. RNAcentral's name for it is "partial 18S ribosomal RNA". It matches the Rfam family "Eukaryotic small subunit ribosomal RNA", at positions 1470 to 1796 of the family's 1831-position model. The record is from RNAcentral.